RNAcentral lists this ribosomal RNA (453 nucleotides) under uncultured bacterium. RNAcentral's name for it is "bacterial SSU rRNA". It matches the Rfam family "Bacterial small subunit ribosomal RNA", at positions 340 to 786 of the family's 1533-position model. The record is from RNAcentral.
UACGGGAGGCAGCAGUGGGGAAUAUUGCACAAUGGGCGCAAGCCUGAUGCAGCCAUGCCGCGUGUAUGAAGAAGGCCUUCGGGUUGUAAAGUACUUUCAGUCGUGAGGAAGGUGUUAAGGUUAAUAACCUUAGCAAUUGACGUUAGCGACAGAAGAAGCACCGGCUAACUCCGUGCCAGCAGCCGCGGUAAUACGGAGGGUGCGAGCGUUAAUCGGAAUUACUGGGCGUAAAGGGCACGCAGGCGGUUAAUUAAGUUGGAUGUGAAAUCCCCGGGCUUAACCUGGGAAUGGCAUUCAAGACUGGUUAGCUAGAGUCUUGUAGAGGGGGUAGAAUUCCAUGUGUAGCGGUGAAAUGCGUAGAGAUGUGGAGGAAUACCGGUGGCGAAGGCGGCCCCUGGACAAAGACUGACGCUCAUGUGCGAAAGCGUGGGGAGCAAACAGGGAUUAGAUACC